RNAcentral lists this ribosomal RNA (253 nucleotides) under uncultured bacterium. Its description in RNAcentral is "partial 16S ribosomal RNA". It matches the Rfam family "Bacterial small subunit ribosomal RNA", at positions 524 to 776 of the family's 1533-position model. The record is from RNAcentral.
UACGUAGGGUGCAAGCGUUGUCCGGAAUUAUUGGGCGUAAAGGGCUCGUAGGCGGUCCAUCGCGUCGGGAGUGAAAAGCUGGGGCUUAACCCCAGUCCUGCUUCCGAUACGGGUGGACUAGAGGUAGGUAGGGGAGAACGGAAUUCCUGGUGUAGCGGUGAAAUGCGCAGAUAUCAGGAAGAACACCCGUGGCGAAGGCGGCUCUCUGGGACGGUACUGACGCUGAGACGCGAAAGCGUGGGGAGCGAACAGG